UUUUUUUUUUCUAUCUGGGUCAAUGAUUUUAAAUUGUGAUAUGUCCUUGAAAAAUAGUGUGGUUAGUGUUAAAACAGAAUUUAGCUGAAAUCAACACAAAUAACAAAAUACUUAAGAGUUCUUAUUUGAAGUAAAUAGGUCUGGUUAUGGGCCUGGAGACUGAUUUCCAACUUCGUUACCUAGUGCCUCUACAAUGUUAAGCAGAAUACUUAAAUUUUUUGCUCAACUGUGUCCACAUGUUUUAUAAGGAGGCAACUACCCUGUCUAGAUCUAGAACUGAGGUAGGAAAAAAUGAGAUAUAUUCUAAAAAAUACCUUCUAAAGACUAACUUCUACAACAGAUUUUAAUUGAGUUCCUCUUCCUUCUCAUCUCAUUAUUAUUUCCUUCUGUUCCUUUUCAGAAGUCAAAUUAAUGGAGAGAAGAUAAGCUAUCCCUUACACUCUGCUGUUUUUACCUUCAAGUCCUUGUUCUCAACAUAAUAAUUUUUUUCUAAAUUUAGGGAAAAUGUCACUGAAUAAAUAUCUAUGAUUAAGAAUAUACUUAUCAGCCUGAACCCAUGUUAUAAAUUAGAUAAUUUGUGAUCACAAAAUAUUUUAUGAGUCAGUUUAUCAGAUCCAAGAUAUGCAUUAUGCACACUGAAAUGCAUGCAAUCUUCCUAUGAAGAUAAAAUGGGGGGCUCUGAAUAAUUUGUAUCAAAAAUUUACCUUCCAACUUCAAAAUUUUUUAAAUUAAAUGACUCAUUCAGGAUCCUAACUUUGAAUUAGAGUAUUUAGUAAAAAGACUGUUUGCAAAAAGAGAGUUGAAAGAGGAAAUCUCUGGGAUUAGAACAGAAGGGGGAAAGCUGUUAGGAUUCCUACCACCCCUACCACAUGACAACACUAUCACCACAGACCACAGGGGCACGCACAGAGCUUCUGGUGUACACAGAAGAGUACACCACCAGCACACAUGGCUUUAAGGAGGGAGCCAAAGGAAUAAAUUCCUAAUUUGUCUCUCUCUCCUUCCAGGUUUUUAAUAGAUGCUGCCAUGUACAUAAUACAACUGUACGAGAAAGAGAAAAGGGACCCCAUUUUAUAAAGCCAAUGUUCAACUCCUGGAGAAUGGAGAAGGAUGAAGAGUGCACUUGAGGGGCUAACUGGUAGACCACCAGCCCAGGAGCGUUGAAAUAAAUAUAAUCGUCUCAGAAUCAUCAGUUUUGCAUUGACAUGAUUAUUUAUAUAUUGGCGAGACAUUAUGAUACAUCUUAUCUUUUCCUCCUUUGAAGUGGGAAUCAUUUGCAGCAGUAAAAUAUUAAAGAUAAGGGAAAAACUAAGGGAUUGGCAGUUUCCAAUCCCAAAUUAAAGACUGAAAAAAAGCAAAUUGUUUUUUCAACAUUACAGAGGAUGUCCUUUCAGAAGGCAGCAUUUGCUAAGGUUUGUUUGGUAAAAAGCAUUAUAUUGUUGAAGAGUCAUACACAUUUAUUUUUUGGAGCACAAAAGCAGAAAAACUCAACUCUUGCUUAAGCAUAUGUCAAAUGGCAUAUCAUGCUUUUUUUUUUUUUCAAUAGCAGCAGAAUUGGCCACUUUCCCAAUUUCAUUUUCUGCCUUCAAAGGCACACACAGUGUGACCCCUACUCAGUCAAGUAAGAAAACUAAUGGCUAGGCUAAGCUCAGCCCCAACAAAAAGAAAUAAUGUUAAAUAAUAUGAUGAGAGUUUUCUAGGAAUGUUACCUACUGAGAAGUCCCCCUUUUCACUUUAACAAAUCAUGGAAGACUAUGCAGUGUUUAUUCACUGACCUUCCAAGAGUGAUUCAACACAUAUUCAAACAAAAAAAAAAGCAACUCCUGUGUUUUUACAGGUUUGUUUUAAAAAUAACAAUGAAAAAUGGAAAUGGAAAGGACAUUGGAAGAGUGCACUGAAGAUAGAUAGCUUUUGUUUUAAAGAAUAAUUAUUGUCAUCACACAGUCUAAAUACAUUCUGCCUGUGGUGUUUCAACUUUAGAAAUCACUGAAUAUAGAAUAGGAUUUAUGGGUCAGAACAAAAUAAAAAACAAAAAGGAGAUUCUGACCCACAACUUAAACAGGUACAUCGUCCUCUGCCAUUUCAGCUAAAUGUAAGGACUAACUGGUAAUAUUACAUAAAUAUUACUCAUAAGUCUUACAAAUGCAAUAUAUAAGUUGGCAUCUUGAUCAUGGGUACUAAUUUUUAACAUGUUCUCUAGAAUAGUUCCAAUUCUCAAUAUUAGGCAAAAAUUAACCUAAAAUUAUUUGAUUUUCUAUUAACAGACUCUGUACAAUAGCCUGCAUUUUCGCAGAUUUAUCUCCUAUGUAGGUGGACUCACAGAAAAUCAUGAUUGCUGUGUUCCCUGGCUGUAUGGAGAAUAUGCUGCCUUCCACAACUCCUUUAUAUACAAAACUUAACCUUAACAAACAGGAAAGUUAUUCUUUAGUAUAUUUUCAGUGACCUUAAAUAUUACAAAGUCUCUUGAAAGAGGCAAAUUGCUGUGUUAAACAUUUCAUCAUUAUUUUAUAUUAUAUGGCUGGAUACAUGUAUAUAUAAAAUUUCAUAUGUAAUUUACUUGACAGGGAAAAAAUGGUCAGAAAGGCAGGAAAGUAAAUUUUUCCUCAGAAACCAAUACUUCUUCAGUAUAUUCUUUUUUUUUUUUUUUUUUUUUUUUUUAGGGCUGCACUUAAGGUAUGUGGAAGUUCCCAGGUUAGGGGUCAAAUCAGAGCUGUAGCUGGCGGCCCACACCACAGCCACAGCAACAAGGGAUCUGAGCCAUGUCUGCAACCUACAUCACAGUUCACGGCAAUGCCGGAUUCUUAAUCCACUGAGCAAGGCCAGGGACUGAGCCUGCGUCCUCAUGGAUACAAGUCAGAUUGUUUCUGCUGUGCCACAACAGGAACUCCCUAUAUACUUUACUUUUAAUAUUUUAAGUAUUUAUGAUUUUAAUUUCCAAAUCCCUAUAAUAACACAAAUAAUAAUAAAAGUUCUCAAAAUGAAAAAGCAGUAAUGGGGUGCUAUUAAUAGUUUCCAUUCUCCUAAAACAUUGUCAUAUUUAAACAUUUUUUUAAAUUUACAGAUUUAGCUUCAAACGUUCUAAAGUUGAAUAGCCUUUAAAAGUUUCUAGAAUAGUCUUUCACAUAGAGUACAUAAAUAUGUUUAUCUGAAGUGGUUCUGCUCAGAAAUUUAAUAAAUUGUGCAGUCCACAGGGAAGACCAUUAAUUAUGUAAAGACUGAUGGGGAUUCAUUUACUUGGUUUCUUUCAGAACUACUUGACUUGUCACUAUUUAAUUAAACAAAAAUAAAUGUGAUAGUAGGGAGAAAUGCAUGCUGUCAGUGAACACUACAAAUACGCCCCUGGAAUAGACAGUUGGAUUUUAGAUGUCUCUAUAUUUAUAGGGAAAAACAGAGAAAAGAAUUAUAAACACUUGCCUACAGAACAUAUAUCUCCAACUACAUCUUUUCUUAGUUUCCUUUUAAGGAGAAGACUAUGAAGACAAAUAACUACCAGUGCAUGAGUACACUCCUUUAUUUCAUCCCUUGAAGAGUCCAUUUUCUUCCAGGGCAGUAGAGUUUAUGUAUUUGAUACAAUGUUCACACAUCUUAGUUCAAUUUGAAAACAUGGCACUGUGCACACUGCCCAUGUCAUUACUUGGUGAAAAUUCAACAUCAAGAUAUUAAAGACAAGCUACUGAAGGGUAGGGAAGAGGGGCAGAGUGAGUUUUAUACAGUACUUAGUUGUAAAAAAAAAAAAAAGUUGUGAUUACACAAUAGAGAGUACUUUGAAUGUAGAUGAUAAACAGUAGGAAUAUCUAUUUUAAAUACAGAGUUGAAAUAUUUAGAUAUUUUUUAAACUACAUGAUCCCUGACCCUAUUAAGCUGUUAGCGCCAAAGGACUGGUGAGAGUGAGACAGCAUACAGAUGGUGGCAACUUGUCAAUUCUCUAGUUUUGGGACCUUGGGCAGAGCAUGUAACCCUUUGACGCUUGUUUCUAAAAUGGCCAUGCAGUUAUUUACAUUGGAUUAGACAUCAUAUAUAUAGUCAUAGAUACAACAUAUUCAAAGCAUCUAUACUAGUGCAUAUUGCAAGAACAGUUAUUACAAAUAGAUAUUAUAAAUCUUUUCUCUGAUUUUAUGUUUGAGAACAAUUUUAGCACUAGGAGUUACAAGCAGAGAUCACUUUUGUCACACUGAGACAGGAUUAAUAGACCUACUAACUGACUGGAGGAUUUAUAUUUAAUUUCCUAUUUGGACUAGCAUAUAUCUUCCUUAAGGUAUUAUCUGGCCUGUGAAUCUAAGAAUAGACAAUAUAGCUAUCCCUGAGAUGCCAAGGAGAUACUGCAUAAAACGAUGUUUUACAGGAACUCUCCCCCAUAGAUAUAUUUUAUUUAGGUUAAAGAAUGUCUUUUAGGAGUUCCUGUCAUGUCACUGCGGAAACGAAUCCAACUAGGAACCAUGAGGUUGCGGGUUCAAUCCCUGCCUCGCUCGGUGGGUUAAGAAUCUGGCAUUGCCGGAGUUCCCGUCGUGGCUCCGUGGUUAACGAAUCUGACUAGGAACCAUGAGGUUGCGGGUUCGGUCCUUGCCCUUGCUCAGUGGGUUAACGAUCCGGCGUUGCCGUGAGCUGUGGUGUAGGUUGCAGACGAAGCUCAGAUCCCGAGUUGCUGUGGCUCUGGUGUAGGCCAGUGGCUGCAGUUCCGAUUGGACCCCUGGCCCGGGAACCUCCAUAUGCCGAGCGGCCCAAGAAAUGG
Molecule: long non-coding RNA, 4729 nt
Filed under: Sus scrofa (pig)
Lineage: Eukaryota; Metazoa; Chordata; Mammalia; Artiodactyla; Suidae
Description: lncRNA (ENSSSCG00000053060.1)
Source: RNAcentral